UGGGUAUUUAUGGAAAUAUAAAUGUAUUUUGGACCAAAAAGUCGACUGGACUGGAUAAACUGGACCUCUGCUGAUGCAAAGUGGCCGUUUUUAAUGGAAUAUUAUUGAUUACUGGAUCACUACGAGGCUUCAAAGCAAUGGCUGAAAAUCCACUAAUCCUGUGUGGCAGCACUUCACUGAGCCAACACCAGGCAAGGCUCGGUGCAACAUCUGCCAUUCUCUGGUACCAUCAGCAGAUUGUGGAUUUGGAGCAUCUGGGUCAGGCGCUCCAGCAGCACAUUCUCUUUGUUUGGGUUCUGCUUUGUUUUCACUUUACAACAUUUAC
Molecule: long non-coding RNA, 325 nt
Organism: Centropristis striata (black sea bass)
Lineage: Eukaryota; Metazoa; Chordata; Actinopteri; Perciformes; Serranidae
Exons: 3
Source: RefSeq, a predicted model, not a curated record